This 342-nucleotide ribosomal RNA is filed under the name Chrysolina bankii. RNAcentral describes it as "16S ribosomal RNA". Lineage: Eukaryota; Metazoa; Arthropoda; Insecta; Coleoptera; Chrysomelidae. The record is from RNAcentral.
UGUAAAAUUUUAAAGGUCGAACAGACCUAAUAUUGUAGCUUCUACACCAAAAAUUUAUUUUAAUCCAACAUCGAGGUCGCAAUCUCUUUUUUUAAUACGAACUCUAAAAAAAAAUUACGCUGUUAUCCCUAAGGUAAUUUUAUCUUAUAAUCAAAAAUAUUGGRUCAUUCACUCAUAAAUUUAUGUUUUAAAAUAAAAAAAGUUAUUCUAAUUUUUCAAUCACCCCAAUUAAAUUAUUUAAUAUAAUUAAUAAAUAAAUACUAAAAUAUUAUUUUUAUUAAAUAAUUAAACUCUAUAGGGUCUUCUCGUCUUUUAACUUUAUUUAAGCUUUUUAACUUAAAA